UUCAUUUCAUUCUUCGUGUUCCUAUCUCCACCCAAAAAUCUUCUCUUCAUUUGAUUCAUCAAAUUAUUCAAACCUCUUACGUGAUGUAACUAAGAAGUUGCAGAGAUUUAAAUGAAAAAGUUAACUGCAUUUUAUGGAUAAAGCGGUCAAUGUGAGUUACUUUGUGGAGCGAGGGUCAAGCGUCAAUGGUGGAAUAAUCAGACCAAAAAUACUGUUACUAUUCACAUAGAUUGGAGUUAUAUAGUUAUAUUUUGUAAAAGUAAUUUAUUUAAAAUGGGG
Molecule: long non-coding RNA, 279 nt
Filed under: Vigna radiata
Lineage: Eukaryota; Viridiplantae; Streptophyta; Magnoliopsida; Fabales; Fabaceae
Description: long non-coding RNA (VRAD_LNC011154)
Source: RNAcentral